GAUGAACGCUGGCGGCGUGCCUAAUACAUGCAAGUCGAGCGAACAGACGAGGAGCUUGCUCCUCUGACGUUAGCGGCGGACGGGUGAGUAACACGUGGAUAACCUACCUAUAAGACUGGGAUAACUUCGGGAAACCGGAGCUAAUACCGGAUAAUAUAUUGCACCGCAUGGUUCAAUAGUGAAAGACGGUUUUGCUGUCACUUAUCGAUGGAUCCCGGCCGCAUUAGCUAGUUGGUAAGGUAACGGCUUACCAAGGCGACGAUGCGUAGCCGACCUGAGAGGGGGAUCGGCCACACUGGAACUGAGACACGGUCAAGACUCCUACGGGAGGCAGCAGUAGGGAAUCUUACGCAAUGGGCGAAAGCCUGACGGAGCAACGCCGCGUGAGUGAUGAAGGUCUUCGGAUCGUAAAACUCUGUUAUUAGGGAAGAACAAAUGUGUAAGUAACUAUGCACGUCUUGACGGUACCUAAUCAGAAAGCCACGGCUAACUACGUG
Molecule: ribosomal RNA, 497 nt
Filed under: uncultured bacterium
Lineage: Bacteria
Description: partial 16S ribosomal RNA
Rfam family: Bacterial small subunit ribosomal RNA
Source: RNAcentral